Non-coding RNA from Callorhinus ursinus (northern fur seal), 653 nucleotides. The record is from RefSeq and is a predicted model, not a curated record. Lineage: Eukaryota; Metazoa; Chordata; Mammalia; Carnivora; Otariidae.
GGCUUCUCCUGAUUUCUUGGCUGCUGUUGUUUGCGCCUCUUCGCUUGUGGCUUUUCUUUACUUGUUUCCAACGUUUUUGUUAACUGGAUGGAUUACAGAAUUUUAGAACUAGGAACGUUCCUAGAGGUCAGCUCUGGUAUAGGAUACCAAGAUUGCUUUGCUUUUAGUCAUUGACUAAUUGUAAUGGGAUUUUGAGUAAAUUAUAUAGCGGCUCCGAGAGUCACAUGUGAAAGGAAUGGGGUUGGAUUGGAUAAUAAAAAAGUAGAUAAGUUGUAAAUUGCCACCCAGAAACUGGGGCUGUAGUCUAGCCACAUUAUGAGGGAGACAACUGAGAUCAGAAAAGUUGCUGUUGAGAAAUGAGCUUCAUUUCACUGAAGAUGAUUUUUCUGUUUUCUUUGGUUGCUUUUAAUAUGUGUUUGCCUUUCUGUAUGCAGAGAAUGGAAAUGGAAAUGAGUAAGUAGAAUUCAUGUCCUGUUUUGGUUCUUUAAAUAAUGGCUUUGUUGGAGCAGCCAUGAUGGAAGGCCUGGACGACGGCCCCGACUUCCUCUCGGAGGAGGACCGAGGAAUUAGAAAUCUGAACCUUGGAGGACGCCUGGAUGGCUCAGGUCAUGAUCCCAGGGUCCUGGGAUCGAGCCUCGCAUCGGGCUCCCUGC